Long non-coding RNA from Parus major (Great Tit), 4989 nucleotides. RefSeq lists it as uncharacterized. The transcript has 2 exons. Lineage: Eukaryota; Metazoa; Chordata; Aves; Passeriformes; Paridae. The record is from RefSeq and is a predicted model, not a curated record.
CACUUGCAGGGAUCCAGGAGCAAUCACAGCUUCUCCAGGCACCCUGUGCUGCUACUUUCUGGAGGAUGCUUAAAAACUGACAUGGAUCAGGAAGGUGACUGGAUAAAGUCAUGGAAGGAAAGUAUAAAGAUUCCUGGGUAGAAACAGUCCAUGCUGAAGUGUUCAGGGGAGAAAAUGGUACAGACUGAUGUGGGUCUGAACUUGCUUUCUAAACCUGCUGCUGAUUGCUGUUGGAGGUAUUGAAUUAAGCAGAUCUCAGAUGGAGUCUGUCAUGCCUGUUGGGACAGUGUCAGGCUGCCCCCGUGCACACUCAGUUUUAAGAUUUUACUGGAAGAGAGAAAAGCCUUUUCAAGUGCUGGGGUAGGAGGCAGGAGUAGGGAUUUUCUCAGAUUUCCCUUUGAACCUUUAUCUCCCAGCAGGUUAACAUCUGAUUCCUCAAUGUCAGUGCCCUUUAUCUGUAUGUAAGAGUGAAGUGGAUUGUAAAACUCUUUGAGUGAACCCCUUGUAGUCUCAAGCUGCUCCAGUGGAGGUUCAGGUUGGUUAUUAGGAAGAAAUUCUUCAUAGAAAAGGUGGUAAAACACUGGACUGGGCUGCCUAGGGAGGUGGUGGAGCCCCCAUCCCUGGAGGAGCUUAAAGAAAGACUGGAUGUGACACUCAGUGCUGUGGUCUGGUUGACAGGGUGGUGAUGGGUCACAGCUUGGACUCAGUUACCUUGGAGGUCCUUUAGAACCCGGGUGAUUCUGUGUGUGCCCAUCUGUGAGGUGGGAGAUGGUGAAACAGGAGCUGGGCUCAAUGAUCCCUGGGUGGAUCCCUCUGAGCUCAGGAUAUUCUGUGAUUCUCUGAAACCCCAUAAAGCCAACCUGAGUAUCCUUUCCGACACCUGGCUCUGUUUUAUAGCCACCAUUUGGUGAGGUGAAGGGAAGAUCUGUUUUGUCUGAUCCCCUUCCACGGAAAAUUCCAAGUCGCUGAAGGAGCAGCAGGAUCAUCCCUGCACACAUGGCAGGGAAAUGACUUUUAAUGAUGGGCUGGCUUGGAUACUGCCCAGAUCCCUUGUCUUACAGCAGGACAAGAUGAUGACCAUGUCCAGGCUCUUCCCUGGCACACACACUCUGCAUAUGUUAUCCCUGAAGUGCUUUUCCCAGGCGUGGCGUGCCUUUGUGCAGGCACAGCGUCUACCCUGCUAAUAGGAUGCUGGUGUCUUCUAUCAGUGAGUUAAUUGGGUCCCUCGGUGCUGGGAUGUUUCCUGCUGCUGCAUCCUCUUCCCGGAGCUACGCCUCCACCUCGGGAACUUCCCUGCUGAUGAAGAUGUGAUGCUGAGCUCUGUGCCCUGCCCGGAGCCAGCGGAGGUUAAAUCCUAGAUAAAGCUUUGGGAUUGCUCGCAGCCUGGGCUGGGAGGGGGGGGAUGCACACACUGAGAGGUUGCUGGAGGGAUUUUAAUUGUGUCGUGUUGAUCGAGCUGGCUGUACACACAGCAGGAGGUUACUGCUCCUCCAGAGCCUGGGAGCCAAAGGUGUAUCGAUCCCAGGGAGCUGUGGGACACAGGAACACGCUGGUGGAGAUCUCAGCCGGGAUGUUUCCAGCUGAGGAUGAAAUUUCUCUGUGUCUUGCACUUCCUCCUCAACUCGUGUCGAGCUGUAACGAUUUUAUAACCCAGCUUUGUCAGCUGAUCCCUCCCCAAAGCAAGAAGCCCUGUUGCUAGGAGUGGGGUUGGGGGGGAAAAAAAACCUCAGGAAUACUCAUCUUCAGCGGUCCAACACUGCAGAUAACAUUGAGUCACUGCUGAAAGCCUCAAAGCAAAACAGAUGUUCAGUUUCUAGUGACUAAGUAACUAUUAAAGGUACCAGAUGAGCAAAGUUUUAACUGAGGUAUUUAAUUUGUGGUUGGCGGCUGACACAAAGCAUGAGCAAACAAGGUGCAAUGCAGAAAUGGUCUCCUGUAUUACACAUGCUGGUGUGUUUUCAUAAAAACUUUUUAGUUCCAUUUUUUUCCCCAUUUUUAAAAUAUGUCUUUCCGGCUUGAUUCAUUCUCUCUGUAGUUGUAACCUUUAGUUCUGGGUGGGAAGGCAAUUAUUUUGUGAGACAUAAGACCAGUGGCAGGGUGAGUGGGCUUUUGUUGCUGCCUUUGUCAUCUCGUUGUUUGACAAGUUACUUCUCCAGGAGUAGUUUGUGUCUCUGAAGUUGGGGAUAAUUACAUGUGUUCUCAAAAAUAAGGAAACUGGACUUAAUUGUGCAUCUUCUCAGCCUGACUUUUGAAUUCAUGAAUGAGUAGAAAACUUGGAAUGUGGCUGUCAUGCAGCUGCUAGCCUUCCAGCAAGAGACAAUUUUUGAUGACUAUAUUUUUUAAAAAGAAAAUUAGGGUGAGGGCUAUGAUCCCAGGAUUCUGGGCUCGUUGGGCAGCCCAGAAUCCAACACUGGGAACUUCUUGAGCUGCUGCUGGUGGAGGUGUUGGGUUCCCAUUGCUUUGUUCCCUGGUGAGAAACCUGCAGCACUGUCUGGCUUUGUGGAACAGAGGUGCUGAAUCCCUCCUUGCCACUCAAACCUGAGCAGGUGAUAAGAUAAAAGGGAAGGAAUUGUGUCCUGGUCCCUGUUCUCAGCAUUGUGUGCAGCAGGAGUGCUUGUGGAUUCCUCGGGUCCAAUGAAUACCUAACAUAAAACACAUGAAAACUCUGAGAAGGAGGACCCUGAUCAGAAUUCCCUCCCUGGUAAGUCCGUAAGUCAGAUCACUCUGUACUUUCUGGAGGAGUGACUCUCAUUUUGGCUGCUCAUCACCACGGGAAGGACAGAAUGGACUGAGUUGCUUUCCCUGGGGUGUGGGAAGUGGAUUUGUACUGCUAAGCCCACGUGGGAGCUGAAGCCAAGGCUCCAUCCUGCCAGUCCUGCAGGAUUUAGGGGGUUUUGACAUGUUCUAGAUGGUUUCUGUUAAGAAAAAGGCUUUUUGGAUCUCUUCUGAGGGUGCCUCCCUUUGGCUGAGCACUUAAUCUUCCACCCCACUUAAGGGAAGAGGGGCAGACACCAAAUCCUGUUGGCACCUUAUUUCACUUAAUUCUCGCUUUUAAUUGUUCUUCCUUCGGCUUUUAACAGAGUCUCUGCCAAAAUCAAGAAGCUAAAAAUUAAAGUAAUUAUUGUGGUGAUGGAAGCAAUCAAAGAGGCCACCAGGCUCCUGGUCUGUGUGCUGUGGUGGAAGGAGCAGGCUGGGAUUGAGCUCAUCUCCUGGGACACGCUGAGCUCCAAGAGUUAAUUUUGUUCCCGACUUCUCUGUCCAUGAGUAAUCCAUUUGUGCUGGGAGGAAAUGGCAAGUUCUUGCAGCGAGGACAGGCUUCACUGCUGGAGAAAAUGAUGCCUAUUUAUCAUAUGAUGCUCUCUGUGCCUUUUUUUAUUUGUCCUUCAUGUGAACUAAGCGUUUUGGUGAUGAGCCUCCCUGUCUGACAGCAGAUUUUGUAGAGGCCUAUGAAUGUUUUUCUUUCCUGCAUUUGCUGUUUCCCUGAAGUUCCUCACACAGCCCCAGGCACCAGUUUGUGCUCCUGGGAAAGAGCUGGACAGGAAAGGACCUGGGGGUCCAGCUGGACAUCAAAUUCACCCUGAGGCAGCAAUGUACCCAACAGGGACAGUGGUGGCCUGGGCUGGGUGAGACAAAACACUUCCAGCAGGUCCAGGGGGGAUCCUGCCCCUGUGCUCAGCACUGGUGAGGCCACACCUGCAGCACUGGGCCCAGCUCUGCCUCCCCAGGACAAGAGGGACAGGGACAGACUGGGGAGAGCCCAGUGAGGCCACUGGAGCAUCUCUGCUCUCAGGAAAGGCUGGGACAGCUGGGGCUGCUCAGCCUGGAGAAGAGAAGGCUGCGGGGCUCUCAUUCAUCCCUGUCCAUCAACACCUGCAGGGAGGCUGCAGAGGGACAGAGCCAGGCUGUGCCAGUGGUGGCCAGGGACAGGACAAGGGGCCGUGGGCACACACUGCCCACAGGAGGGUCCCUGUGAACACCAGGGAACACGUUCUGCUGGGGGGGUCACCAGCUGCUGACACAGCUUGUCCAGGGGUGUUGUGGAGUCUUCAUCUUUGAGGAUAUCCAGCAUUUAUCUGUCUACAGUCACGGGCAGCUGGCUCUGUGUGACCCUGCUGAGCAGGGAGUUGGACCAGACAGCCUCCAGAAGUUUCUUCUCACCUCCACCACUCUGUGGUUCUGAGACACAGAGAUCAAGGUCCUCGGGAGAUUCAGGGCUGGGCUGAGCCCUCUGCAGGGGUGUGACCUGUGCACAAAUGCAGCUGCAUUUGGCAUCAAACAGCACUGUGUGAUCACAUCUCCUUUGCUCUCUGGGAGUUUGAAACACCCUGUGCCAGAGUCUCCUGGCCACGCUGAGUGAAAAUGUCCCGCGGAGGGAAGGGGCCGGUGCAUGGAGGCACAGCUGAGCUACGCCCUGACGACAGCCCUGCCUCCAGGCUCCUUUAUUUUGGCCUCGAGCCUUAGUUUACAUAAUCCUGCCUGAUCCCUCAUCUUCUGCAUGGAUCAGCCUUAGAAGACCCUCCAGUUUGACCAGAUCAAACUGGGAAGCAGGUCUCUCUCACCAUCUGAGCCAAGAAGUGCUGGUGUUGGUGGAAUCAGGUGGCUUUGGCUGUAUCAGAAGACUUCACCCGUUCCAGGACUUGAUUUUGGGGCUCCUUUGGAGGCUGAAAAAAAAGAAACCAAACCUUGAACAUGGUCUGGAGAGCUGUGGAACAGGUGUGGCUCCUGUUCCCACAUGCAGCCCUGCAUGGGAGAGGUCUCACCUGCAGAGUCCAUGUGGGUUUUUCUUAUGUUUUUAUCUUUGGGUUGUGUGAGUUUCCCAAACCAGAACUGGACUGUGAUUUAGGAUCAGUUUNAGUUUCCCAAACCAGAACUGGACUGUGAUUUAGGAUCAGUUUUCCAAACCAGAAUUGGACUGUGAUUUAGAAUCAAGUCUUUAGGGAAGCUUGUCAAGGCGAUGUGUAAUAGCAUAAUAAAACCCUAACUGCUUCA